Rhagoletis zephyria (snowberry fruit fly) is the source of this 648-nucleotide long non-coding RNA. RefSeq lists it as uncharacterized. NCBI's taxonomy places the organism in Eukaryota, Metazoa, Arthropoda, Insecta, Diptera, Tephritidae. The record is from RefSeq and is a predicted model, not a curated record.
AAAAACAUACGAAUUUUGUGGAGAAAUACGCAAGUAGAAUGGAGAAAGAAUAAUCUAAGAAAUGGGAAUGGAUUCUUUAGCAUUUUUCUAGUGCAUACUGAUCAAUUUAUAUGCCUGAAUAAGAACUGUAUCACAAAAAAAGGCAGCUGCUACUGAUCAAUUUAUAUGCCUGAAAAAGAACUGUAUCGCAAAAAAAGGCAGCUGCUACUUCAUAUGUAUCGUAGAAAAUAUUCUAGAACAUUCGUCGGAGAGAUCUUCGUAAAUGUGUAUGUAUACAGGAAACUAUUCAUAUAUGUAUGAGUGUAGGUAUAUAUUAAAUAUAUAGUAUGUAUAACAGCAAUAAACUACGCAGCUGCAUUUAAAAUAAUAGCUUGGAGUGAGUGAAACGAAAGUAGACUUGUGUGGUGUGGAAACUUUUGCGUAUACACAAAAUUCGUCACCAGGUAGAGAAUCACGUAUACAUAAUUUUCGUACUAAGUAUAUAACUAUGUAUCUAUACAUUAUGUAUACAUAUGACUGAAAAAAAAAAUACUUGUGAUACAGAAGUGCGCACCUAGUAUGGAAAAUUCCAAUUUCGCAACGCGGCGUUAACAAAUGGCAGUUCAGAUAUGUACGACGCAGUUUUUAGAUACGAAAAAAGGUAUGACU